Molecule: long non-coding RNA, 5015 nt
Organism: Zeugodacus cucurbitae (melon fly)
Lineage: Eukaryota; Metazoa; Arthropoda; Insecta; Diptera; Tephritidae
Exons: 4
Source: RefSeq, a predicted model, not a curated record
UUGCCCCAUAAUCCCCAAUGCGGUAAAAACGUUUGAGAUCAAACAGCAAUGUUUUCUUUAACCCUCUAAAUAGUGUAAAAUGGCUAAAAUUGAUCGGAAAAUAUCAAAAUACAAGAACCAAAGCCAGAAAAAGGCCCUAAAUUAUAAAUAAGUGGACAUGUACAGUGCUUAAUGUCUCGAAAACUUGACCAAAUUCCAAAAAUUUCGAUCAGUGUUCUUACGAAAGAGUUCUAUGAAGAGUGCAAUAUUCAGAUUUCUCAUGAAACUGCGCGCCAAAACAUGCUACGACAUGAAUACAUAUGUAUCAAGAUGUGCUAUAAAAAAUAAUCGAAUGAUGUUGUGUCUUUCUAAUGAAAAUAAUGCCUUGUGUCGUACUCUAGUUAGCCAAUUGUUGAAAUAUAACAUCUUCUUGUUCUCGUCCCAUUAUAUGACAUCAUCCCAGUAGUUCCCAGGUUCAGAAAUAUACUUAAUAAUAGCAAACAAAAAACGUUUCUCUACAUUUGGUGCAUACAGCAUUUUUUUUUAUGGCAGAUCUUCGUGCAUGUUCAUGUCGUAGCAUGUUUUGUCGCGCAGUUUCAUGAGAAAUCUGAAUAUUGCACUCUUCCUAGAACUCUUUCGUAAGAACACUGAUCGAAAUUUUUGGAAUUUGGUCAAGUUUUCGAGACAUUAAGCACUGUACAUGUCCACUUAUUUAUAAUUUAGGGCCUUUUUCUGGCUUUGGUUCUUUAUUUUCCAUAUUUUCCGAUCAAUUUUAGCCAUUUUACACUAUUAAGAGGGUUAAAGAAAACAUUGCUGUUAGAUCUCAAACGUUUUUACCCCAUUGGGGAUUAUGGGGCAAUAGUUGGACCUCUUCAAACUAAACCCUUUGCAUGGAAUAUUAAAAAGACAAUAAUGGGUAAUUCAGAUAUGAAAAAAAGCAAAAAUUAAUCACCAACUAAUUGACAAAUUCAUUGUAAAUGCCUUUACGAAGAAUAGGUAACGGUGAAGUACGGUUAACUGUAUAACACGUGCUUAACAAGUCAAAUAAUCGAAGUGUGUAAAGUGUUUCUUGACACUAACAAAAUUGAACGAUUUUUGUUUUUUGUUGUUCUUGGUUGGUUUUUGCAUUGCUUUCGCAGCUUUUUUUGCAUCACAUCUCUUGAAAUACUGUAAGUAACCAUCCCUGAUUCAAAAAAUAUGUUGAACUGAAGUAAAAAGUAAAAAAUUUAGCUGCGGAAAGUGAGAAAGUGUAUUUAUUUUCUAUGUGUAAACUGUUUCUUGACAUACUGUAUAUAGAUUAUAUAGAUUAUUAGAUUAUUUGUAUAAAACCUUGAAAUUUAUUCAUUAAAAUCACCACUCAGAAGUCGUUUUAUCAGUUGUAACUGAGCGAUCAUCGAAGAAAAACAUUUCUAAUAUGCCACAAGACAAAAUUAGAAAUGAAGUUCAUAAACCUCACGUUGUCAGAUAAAACGAUAUACCUCCUCAUCGCGGGUGCUAAUACUUUCGAUUUGCAAAGAAAGUAAAUGAAGACUGACUACAGAAGUGAUUCUGUGAAGAAUAGUCUUUUAGCGUUUUCUUGUCUCAUUAAAAUUUUGAAUUUAUUCCACCCUGUCUCCGAGCUGUCAAAUUUGCGUGUUCUUUUCUCAAAAUUUGUUCAGGGUUGUUUGUUCUUUUCUCAAAAUGUUUCAACCUAACCCGAAAAACCUGUCACAAAUUCUACCCUGCCAAAACGUAAGAGUGAGAGUUUCAGCUGAUAUUUAUUUACAUUUUUAUUUGAGUUUAAUUUUUAAUAAAAUGAAUCGUGAGAUUUUGUUGUAUUCAAUUAUGGAAAUUGCGGAUGAACUGAUAAAUUCAUCAUCGUCUUCAUCAGAAAACGAAAUUGAGAUGGUAGAUGUUGAAAGAUACCUAGGAUAAAAAAUUUCGUUGAAGACGUAGUGAACGCCUAUUCGGAGGCAGAGUCGGGACGUUUAUCAUAAUCUGCUGACCAAAUAUAUGUCGAGUACGUGGCUUAUAAAAAGGAGCUACAAGGGAGGAAGAACCCCAACAACAGCCGAAACUCAAGUGCUUGCGUUUUUGUGGUUUUCUGCAAAUAAAAGCAGCUUCAGAGAAGUAGGCAAUCUAUUUAAUAUGGCUUUGUCCAAUUUUUUCAAAACAUUUAACGCGGUGUUAAACUUCAUAGUGAAAGAUGUCGCACCAGAAAUGAUAAGGUUCCCAAAAGAACCUUCGGAGAGGGAAGUUAUAGUUAGAGAGUUUGAAAAUGUAAUAAUGAUAGCUGGCUUUCCAAAUGUCUUGGGCUACAUGGAUGGAUGUUACAUCACAAGCCCAAACAUAAAAUACGCUCUACAUAUAUCAACAGGCACGAUUGUGUUUCAAUCACUCUCCAAGGUGUAUGUGAUGCAAAGUUACGUUUUUUGGGCGUAUUUACCGGGGUGCCUAGCAAAAUCCAUGAUGCUAGAGUUCUCAGAUUAUCUUUCAUUGGCAAAGAAUUGUAGAGCCUAUGUGCCCCAAAAUACUAUUUAUUGGGAGAUUCGGCAUAUCCUAUAAGGGAAUAUUUAUUAACACCAUACAGAGAUUAUGGUAAUUUGACAGAAUCCGAAAAGGUAUACAAAAAAAAUUUUGUCAGACGAGUUUGAAAAUUGAUGAUAACAUAUUCAUGGAAAGAGACGACAGGAGAGACCAACUUCUUUCACAAUUAGGUCAGAUAAAGCGUAACGAAGUUGAAGACCAGCUCUUCACUCCAAGAAAUGUAAAUUAACUUUUUUUUAACAUUCACCGGGCUGCCCAGCAAAAUCCAUGAUGCUAGAGUUCUCAGAUUAUCUUUCAUUGGCAAAGAAUUGUAGAGCCUAUGUGCCCCAAAAUACUAUUUAUUGGGAGAUUCGGCAUAUCCUAUAAGGGAAUAUUUAUUAACACCAUACAGAGAUUAUGGUAAUUUGACAGAAUCCGAAAAGGUAUACAAAAAAAAUUUUGUCAGACGAGUUUGAAAAUUGAUGAUAACAUAUUCAUGGAAAGAGACGACAGGAGAGACCAACUUCUUUCACAAUUAGGUCAGAUAAAGCGUAACGAAGUUGAAGACCAGCUCUUCACUCCAAGAAAUGUAAAUUAACUUUUUUUUAAUUUAAUUAACUAGCUUUCAUGGGCUCAAUUUCAGAAAAGUAUGUGGCGUAUUUGUCCAAGAGAAGACGUGUCUCAUUGUCUGGCCACACUGAAACAAAAACAUAUUAUAUACAUAUCCUACGCUGUGUUUUAAAUAUUUAUUUUGUAUCCUUUUGAAACAGGAAUUAUUAGCUUCCAUUAGAAAUUUUAUUAUCACUCGAAUUCUUUAUUAAUUCCAAAUUGGCGCAAAUUCACUAUUCUUCCCAAAUUGCCGCAAAAAGUCAAACAGCUGAUGGAUGACAGGGUGACACUUUUUUGGUUCUUUUGUGAUGCGAAAAGUGGAACUAUUUCACAGGGUGUAAUUGAUAAUUUUAAUAAUGUUGUCACAUAAUGAGGCAGGCCUUCUGAUCAAGAAAAGAAAACGCUAUUAACUUUUCAACGGCCAACGGAGAAUAUUUCAACCAAAAGUCACACAAAAUAGUUGAGAAUUCGCAGAAAUGAAACAGAAACGAAAGACAAAUAAUGCGCAAGCAUACAAUCAUACAUGUGCGCACACAUGUGAAUAUGUCACCAACCAAAAAUUUAAACAUUGUUCUACAAAAACAAGAAUUGCUCAAAAAGCAUAAGCAUGGCAAGUGUUUAUGUGUUUGUUCUCUGCUUUAACGCUAUACGCGUUAAACAAUUAUCCCUUUCCAAAGUCGUAUAAGAAGUAUAACUUCAACAAGUAAGAAAGGGCUAAGGUUGUGAAGCGAUUUGGCCUAUUUUCACAACAUAUCAUUGGGAUGUAAGGAAACUAUUACAAACCAGGUUUCAUUGAAAUCGGUCGAGUAGUUCCUGAGAUACGGUUUUUAACCCCAUAAGUGGGCGACGCACAGUGUGAGAUUUGGUCAAUCUAGCAUCUCGAAAUUAAAAAAAAAAAAUGUUUUCGUAACUCGCUCAUAUUUUUUUUUACGUGAGAAGAGACCCCAAUUGUUACGAAAACAAACACAAAAUAGAAUAAAAAAAUGUUAUUAGCGUGAUAACAGCUAUCAAACACAUACAAUUGCAUAGCAUGCUACAAUUGAUUUGCAAGCUUGCAUUGAUCACAAAAGUUUGAGUGAUCAGGUCGAAGUUGUGAGUGGUUAUUUUGGCCUAAAAUAUUUUUAGUAUUGAAGGUUAUUACUUAAACUUAAAAUUUUUGUUAUAUACAAUAUUUAUUUUUGCACUCAAGUAUUUUGAAAAAAUUGUUUUAUAACCACCUGAAAGGUAAGACAAAUUUUAAAGUUUUCAAAUAUUUGAUAGACUAGAACUUCCAAGUCCCAUGGAGUUCCGUGAUGGGAAUGCCAGCAUAAUCUUUGUUAAUGUGCCCAAAACAAAUUUAAAAAAUAAAAUCCUGCCCAUUUUUUGCCUUUUUUUAGUAUGAGUGAAAUAUCGCGAGAGGAGCUAUUUUGAAUUUGGUUGAACAAGGUGAAAAGCGACAAAACAGAAGCGGUCGAAAAGCACGUUAUAUCAAUUUUUGGACCAGAUGUUGACGAUACCAAAAUUAAAGAUCGUAUAAAAAAGCUUUGCUUCCAAUUUCAAUCGCGAUGGAGUAAAUCUCACCGUGAUUAAGCAAGAUUUAUGCAUGACAAUGCUAUUUGGCUAAGUUCAAAAAUUUCUGCUGUUGAUUUUGCUCUUGAUCACGCACCAUCAGCUCCAAAACAAAUACCUCAACGCGGAAGGCGAGAAAAAGAGUUUGCUGAAAGUGCUUCGAGUACACAAAAACGGAAAUGCAUAGAGUUAAUAUCAAAUGUAGCUUCGGAACAAUUAACUAUGGCUACCGCAAUGUAUCUGAGAUCCUGUAGAAAAAGAGACUCAGCAAAUAUUAAAAUCUUAUUUUGAAUAUUUUCCAUUCUUUUAAGAACUUUCGUUGGAUGUUUUAGUUUUCCCUUUUUAUUAUGUUUUAGAUAUCAAUAAAUUUAACA